AAUGAGUGAGGAAAGUCCGGGCUUUACAGAGCAAGCUGCCAGAUAACGUCUGGGAGGCGUGAGCCUACGGAAAGUGCAACAGAAAAUAUCCCGCCUUAUUUUUUAAGGUAAGGGUGAAAAGGUGUGGUAAGAGCGCACCGCAUUGGUGGUAACACUCAAUGGCAUUUUAAACCCCAUCUAAAGCAAGACCAAAUAGUGCCACUAUGAUGUUGCUCGCAUCGUUGCAGGGUAGGUCGCUUG
This 240-nucleotide RNase P RNA is filed under the name Francisella tularensis subsp. holarctica. RNAcentral describes it as "partial RNase P RNA component class A". It matches the Rfam family "Bacterial RNase P class A", at positions 36 to 282 of the family's 367-position model. From Rfam's summary of the family: Ribonuclease P (RNase P) is a ubiquitous endoribonuclease, found in archaea, bacteria and eukarya as well as chloroplasts and mitochondria. Its best characterised activity is the generation of mature 5'-ends of tRNAs by cleaving the 5'-leader elements of precursor-tRNAs. Lineage: Bacteria; Pseudomonadati; Pseudomonadota; Gammaproteobacteria; Thiotrichales; Francisellaceae. The record is from RNAcentral.